This 1655-nucleotide ribosomal RNA is filed under the name Salmonella enterica. Its description in RNAcentral is "partial 23S ribosomal RNA". It matches the Rfam family "Bacterial large subunit ribosomal RNA", at positions 1292 to 2925 of the family's 2925-position model. The record is from RNAcentral. RNAcentral also lists the same sequence under 1 other name. Lineage: Bacteria; Pseudomonadati; Pseudomonadota; Gammaproteobacteria; Enterobacterales; Enterobacteriaceae.
GAAUGCUGACAUAAGUAACGAUAAAGCGGGUGAAAAGCCCGCUCGCCGGAAGACCAAGGGUUCCUGUCCAACGUUAAUCGGGGCAGGGUGAGUCGACCCCUAAGGCGAGGCCGAAAGGCGUAGUCGAUGGGAAACGGGUUAAUAUUCCCGUACUUGGUGUUACUGCGAAGGGGGGACGGAGAAGGCUAUGUUGGCCGGGCGACGGUUGUCCCGGUUUAAGCGUGUAGGUGUGUGUUCCAGGUAAAUCCGGUUCACUUUAACACUGAGGCGUGACGACGAGGCACUACGGUGCUGAAGCAACAAAUGCCCUGCUUCCAGGAAAAGCCUCUAAGCAUCAGGUAACACGAAAUCGUACCCCAAACCGACACAGGUGGUCAGGUAGAGAAUACCAAGGCGCUUGAGAGAACUCGGGUGAAGGAACUAGGCAAAAUGGUGCCGUAACUUCGGGAGAAGGCACGCUGACACGUAGGUGAAGUGAUUUACUCAUGGAGCUGAAGUCAGUCGAAGAUACCAGCUGGCUGCAACUGUUUAUUAAAAACACAGCACUGUGCAAACACGAAAGUGGACGUAUACGGUGUGACGCCUGCCCGGUGCCGGAAGGUUAAUUGAUGGGGUCAGCGCAAGCGAAGCUCCUGAUCGAAGCCCCGGUAAACGGCGGCCGUAACUAUAACGGUCCUAAGGUAGCGAAAUUCCUUGUCGGGUAAGUUCCGACCUGCACGAAUGGCGUAAUGAUGGCCAGGCUGUCUCCACCCGAGACUCAGUGAAAUUGAACUCGCUGUGAAGAUGCAGUGUACCCGCGGCAAGACGGAAAGACCCCGUGAACCUUUACUAUAGCUUGACACUGAACAUUGAGCCUUGAUGUGUAGGAUAGGUGGGAGGCUUUGAAGUGUGGACGCCAGUCUGCAUGGAGCCGACCUUGAAAUACCACCCUUUAAUGUUUGAUGUUCUAACGUGGACCCGUAAUCCGGGUUGCGGACAGUGUCUGGUGGGUAGUUUGACUGGGGCGGUCUCCUCCUAAAGAGUAACGGAGGAGCACGAAGGUUGGCUAAUCCUGGUCGGACAUCAGGAGGUUAGUGCAAUGGCAUAAGCCAGCUUGACUGCGAGCGUGACGGCGCGAGCAGGUGCGAAAGCAGGUCAUAGUGAUCCGGUGGUUCUGAAUGGAAGGGCCAUCGCUCAACGGAUAAAAGGUACUCCGGGGAUAACAGGCUGAUACCGCCCAAGAGUUCAUAUCGACGGCGGUGUUUGGCACCUCGAUGUCGGCUCAUCACAUCCUGGGGCUGAAGUAGGUCCCAAGGGUAUGGCUGUUCGCCAUUUAAAGUGGUACGCGAGCUGGGUUUAGAACGUCGUGAGACAGUUCGGUCCCUAUCUGCCGUGGGCGCUGGAGAACUGAGGGGGGCUGCUCCUAGUACGAGAGGACCGGAGUGGACGCAUCACUGGUGUUCGGGUUGUCAUGCCAAUGGCACUGCCCGGUAGCUAAAUGCGGAAGAGAUAAGUGCUGAAAGCAUCUAAGCACGAAACUUGCCCCGAGAUGAGUUCUCCCUGAGACUUUAGGUCUCCUGAAGGAACGUUGAAGACGACGACGUUGAUAGGCCGGGUGUGUAAGCGCAGCGAUGCGUUGAGCUAACCGGUACUAAUGAACCGUGAGGCUUAACCUU